GAUCCUAUAUAAUCUGUUCCCAUGCCCUAUUUUCCAUCGCCUCCUGUUUGGUAAUCUAUCACUGAAGAACGAAUUUUUGUCAAUCGCUCGAUUCGUCCUAUUACAGAGGUACAAAGAAGUUGGACUCGACACCAGCGUUUUGACUAGAGUUGAAUAUGGGAGUAGAAGUUCACGAGCUGGCUGCUAAAGGUCCAAUGCUACAGCCUACAGGUAAGUAAUUAAUAGAUUUCUUCAUUUCAUUAUUAGAGAGGUUCAUUUCUUUUCAUUAAUCAUGUUGACAAGAGGACAUCAUUGACUUACAUGUAUGAUUGUGGUAACUAACUGACUGAGAACAACUAGAGGUGAUCUCAAAGCGGUAAACAACUUUUUUUUCUUUUGUUUUUCAAUACUUAUACUCUGUGCCAUAUGAAUCAGUUGUUACUAGGUACUAUCUUUUUGAAAAUUUGAAUAGAGUUUGAACCUUUGUGGACGCAAAAAAAGAUAUGAAAAAGGAAGUUCCUGUGUUGAUCGAUAAGUUUCCAGAAUGUGGGUUGCGAUCUUUGGCUAUUGCAAAACAGGUGUUCAACUUGAUAUUGCUAAGAAGACUGGUAGACGACUUGGUAUGAGACAAACAUGUACCCUUCUUCUUUACUUGGUGGCCACAAGGAUUUAUCUAUAGCAACUUUUUGUAUUCAAGAGUUCAUUGAGAAAGCUCAUGGAUUUUGAUGAAAACCAAAAGCUCACAUUGAAAUUGAUAUUGCUCAUGCUAUAUAUGAUGCUAUCAUGGUGCAGACAAUAUUUGGUGACAAUGGCGAAUCUCCUAUAUUUGUUGUAAAGUGGUGGAUCUGUUUGAGAGAGGCCAUGUAUAUAUAUAUUUUAGUUUUUGAAUAUUUGCUCUGCAAUUAAAUAGUCAAUAUUACUAUUUUUAUACUAUUUUGGUAUUCACGCUCGGUUGGGAAAACAUAUGUAUUGUUAUUAGAUUGAGAAUCGUUUAUAUUGAAGCCCACACAUACUAUA
Long non-coding RNA from Helianthus annuus (common sunflower), 996 nucleotides. RefSeq lists it as uncharacterized. NCBI's taxonomy places the organism in Eukaryota, Viridiplantae, Streptophyta, Magnoliopsida, Asterales, Asteraceae. The transcript is spliced from 3 exons. The record is from RefSeq and is a predicted model, not a curated record.